UCGUGUAUUCCACAAACCCAUAUACAGAGACACGUAAGAUUCUUGAAAGGAUGCGGUCAUUUGUGUUUGCACAUUUAAUGGGCUGCAAGUUGGAUGAGUGUGCCCGACGUGCUGGCUUCCUGCAUCACCUCACUGUGAUGCUGUUGUCUCCUGCUGGGCCAGACUCUCCUUCCCCUUCCUUCCCCUCCUAGGGCAGGCCAGGAGGUGCUGCAGGCAGGGAGCGCAGGCAGAAGGGGGCACGCGCCAUCUCACACUGCUCCCAUGUGCCAGAGCAGUGCCCGCUCCCCCAGCGAUGCUCUGGUUUCCUGCAGAUAAUGCUGUACAGAGGAAUAAAGGAGGCAGCACAAAGCAUGAUUAAUGCACCCACUCCUCAAUAAUUAUGCAUAAUUAAUCACAGAGACAACCCACCUCAGCCCGGCAGGACCUCACCCGGGCUGGGCACGGCCCGCAGGACGGCACCAUGGCUGGGCCCCAGACAGGGCCUGGCCCCAUACCAUGAGCCGACGUCUCGGUGCCGCUGGGCGCUGUGGCCAGCACACCUGCUGGGCUGGGCCACGAGGUAGGGGAAGAGGGAGAGGUAAGAAAAGUCACCGAGUAAUCUGAUAAAACAGGUAUGUCAUAGGCGGGGGGAGGCCAGAGAGAAAGGUGCAGGGAGGAACCACAGGAGGGGAGGUUCAGAAGGGCACAGCACUUCCAGUCAGCCCUGGCCAGGGGGCAGGAACAGAAGCGUGAGACUUGGUGGCCUCCGAAGAGCCUCCCAGGACCAGUGCUGCACCCCACAGUGGCAGUAUCUGGCCCCAUCACCAUGAUGAACACCUUGAACAUGAACAUGAACACCUUUCCUGGCAUGCCCAAGGGCAUCCUGUGGGCCCAAUUGCCCGCAGCAACACCCGUGCAGUUCCCUGGGAGCAUGUCCCAAACACUGCCUUCCCGGGGCAGGAAACUUUCUAAGGUGGUAGGGCACUGCCUCGCACAGCAGCUGCAUGAAGCCAUAAAACAGAGCUGGUGUGCGAGCUCAGGGAAUUGAGUAAAGGGAGACUGCAGAGGUAACCCAGCAUUACUGAAUGCAGCGGGCCCAGGGGAUCACUUCAGAUGCUCCAGAGAUUCCAGUAAUAAGCUCAGCGAGUAACGUGAAAGUGACUACAGAGCUGGAGGAGCCCCGAGAGGC
This is a long non-coding RNA of Cygnus olor (mute swan), 1168 nucleotides long. RefSeq lists it as uncharacterized. The record is from RefSeq and is a predicted model, not a curated record. Lineage: Eukaryota; Metazoa; Chordata; Aves; Anseriformes; Anatidae. The transcript is spliced from 3 exons.